UGUGUAGGCGGCCGUGCAAGUCGGAUGUGAAAGCCCCGGGCUCAACCCGGGAAGUGCACCCGAAACUGCAUGGCUCGAGUACCGGAGAGGUUGGUGGAAUUCUCGGUGUAGAGGUGAAAUUCGUAGAUAUCGAGAGGAACACCGGUGGCGAAGGCGGCCAACUGGACGAGUACUGACGCUGAGACACGAAAGCGUGGGGAGCAAACAGGAUUAGAUACCCUGGUAGUCCACGCCGUAAACGAUGGGUGCUAGGUGUCACGGGCUUUGACUCCUGUGGUGCCGUAGCCAACGCAUUAAGCACCCCGCCUGGGAGUACGGCCGCAAGGCUAAA
Molecule: ribosomal RNA, 331 nt
Filed under: uncultured bacterium
Lineage: Bacteria
Description: bacterial SSU rRNA
Rfam family: Bacterial small subunit ribosomal RNA
Source: RNAcentral